RNAcentral lists this ribosomal RNA (169 nucleotides) under Candidatus Poseidoniia archaeon. RNAcentral describes it as "partial 16S ribosomal RNA". It matches the Rfam family "Archaeal small subunit ribosomal RNA", at positions 1 to 169 of the family's 1478-position model. Lineage: Archaea; Methanobacteriati; Thermoplasmatota; Candidatus Poseidoniia. The record is from RNAcentral.
ACUUCGGUUGAUCCUGCCGAAGGCUACUGCUAUUGGAGUUCGAUUAAGCCAUGCGAGUCUAAGGGGUACUUGUACCCCUGGCAUAAUGCUCAGUAACACGUGGAUAAUCUACCCUCAGGUGGGGCAUAAACCCGGGAAACUGGGGCCAAUUCCCCAUAGACGCAGAUGG